GCUGGGCUUAGUAGCGUGAGCCUGUAACUCGAGCGAGGACUUUAUGUUGGUUGGAGUUUGCUUUGUUCAGAGGGUUGGGCUCUGCUGUGUUAUGCACAGGCAUGCCCAUUUCACAACCAACUUC
This 124-nucleotide non-coding RNA is filed under the name Daucus carota subsp. sativus. Lineage: Eukaryota; Viridiplantae; Streptophyta; Magnoliopsida; Apiales; Apiaceae. The record is from RNAcentral.